CUUAGGGGGUCACUGUAAGACAGCAGCACUUGGUGCCUCAGCUCUGCUAGUGUCUACAAUGUAAAGUAAGACAAGCUCAGGCUUUGUCAGGGUACUCUCCUGUCCCUGUUAUUGUGGGCACACACCCUAAGGACUCCAGUGGGAGUGAAGUGCAAUGAUGGUACUGAAAUCUAAACAUUUCUCUGUGUCUCCUUCCCCACUCAGAGUGAGACAGAGGGUCCCCAGCACAAAGGCUACAGUCUUGUCAGUUCCUGAAUAUGUCAUAUUAACCAUCAUGAACUCUUGAUCUGGGUCUGCUCAUUAGGAACCCAGAGAAGCUGGAUAAGCCUAUUGCUUCUUAGAAGCUGCCAGUUCCUGACUGAUCCUGUAAGGCUCAAGCCCAUCACACCCAGAAAGCUCCCCAGACUCUUUCCUGAACUCACUACAUCUUCCCCAGGACCACUGAUUUCUCCAUUCUUUCCAGUGAGACCUAGGGUCAGCUUCCUUCUGCCUUGCUCUGGUAUCUCCACGAAGUCCAUUCUCUCUAUCAAGUAGAUGCCUAAGUCUUGACAACAUGUCUAUAGAAAAACUGUAUAGACAUUGAACGAAUAUCCUAAAGGCACUUGGUGUCGCUACAACACUAUUGACCUCACAGGGGAUUCCAAGAGCUCUGCUCUCCAGGAUACAAUAGAAUUUCCAGAGAAGGGACUCCUGAUGUCACAAGGAACAGCUUUUGCCUCCUGGCUAACAAAUUCUCCCUGAACUGAACAGAAGCUGAGAUUUCUUUUCCAGGAGUCUCUCCUGUGAUACAGGUGAAGCCAUUCAGUAGUACCUCCUCUUCUAAAGCUGGGAAUUUUUCUCUGCUUCCUUAGAAUCUUUUCACUACUUUACCCAUGGAGAGUUGAACACUCACUUUAUAAGCACUGCCCAAGAAUGGACCUUCCUCUCCUUAACAACCAUACUCAAUAAUAUGAGAAAUAAAGUAUGUCAAGGAAUUAGAUUAGGAUGAUGUGGAGGAGGACGGUUGAGUUCUCUGAAGUGAGCAAGCACCUGAGGAAUGCUAAGGUUAAGAGAAGACGGCCAUGGAGAAUUUGAAGGUGGGGUUCCUGAAGAUGAUAAUGACACAACUCAUUGAACAUGGAGAAGUCAAGCUAGUGUCUCCCUAGAGUCUUCACCACUUAUGGACUAGAUUUCAUGGCACUGAAGAGUACUCUGCUCACUAUCAAAGGAGAAAGCCAUCAUAGGAGCAGCUUCCAUCUGCAGCAGAUGGGAACAAAUACAGAGACCCUCAUCUAGACAAUAUGCAGAGAGGAAGAGAACUUGAACACUCAACCCUAAACUGGACCUCUCCAAUCAGACUCCUCCCCUCAGGACAUAGGGAACCCUUUGGAAGAGGAGGCUCCAUCCACUCUGGCUGGUGUGAAGCUUCCUCCCAACACUGCUUAGCUGGACCAUCAAGAGGGAGUCCUAUCCACACCUCCACCACCAGGAGUGUCUUCUCAAUUCUGCAUCUCAUCAGAUGGUCCUAAUCUUCAUUGUCAUCCAGGACGAGAUGUGACAGAUCUGCUCCAACCCUGACAAUAAGCAAUGCUGGAGCAGGAUCUUGAACCCACCAAUGCCUUGCAUCGAUGCUUGGCAUCCUAAGACAAUUAGCAUGCCUACAUCAUGUAUUUGUCUGUACUGGUCUCCUGAAAUUUCUCUUUGCUUGGGGGUGAUUCAGUCAAACUAAUAUAGCACACAUGGCUAGAAGGACAAAAGUCAAGUGCAGGGUCUGAAGAGAUGGCUGCCGCAUUUUGAGUAGUUUCUCUCCCAAAGGACCAACAGAGCAGCUAAAAAGCCACUGUAACUCCAGGUUCAGGUGGAAUCUGAUGCCAUCUUCUGGCCUCUGGUGGAAUUGCAUGCAUGUGGUGUGCAGCCCUGCUGCAGGCAAAAUGUCCAUGCAUACAAAUAAAAGAAAUAAAUCUUUAACAAAUGGAACCCAUUAGUAGCUAAGGUCAAAAAAGUCCCAACAUAUCUUGGAAUUCAUACUGUCUUCAGUCUGGUAUUUCACUGAUGCUAUAUUUUAAGGAAACCAGAGGCAGAUAGCUCUGGUUUUUCUAUUUUUUUAUUUUAAAUGUU
Long non-coding RNA from Peromyscus eremicus (cactus mouse), 2097 nucleotides. RefSeq lists it as uncharacterized. The transcript is spliced from 4 exons. The record is from RefSeq and is a predicted model, not a curated record. NCBI's taxonomy places the organism in Eukaryota, Metazoa, Chordata, Mammalia, Rodentia, Cricetidae.